UUAGAUACCGCUUACAAUAAAAAAUAAAAAGGAAACAUACAAUGUCUUAUCUCUAUGAUAUGUAUCCCUGUACAAACCAAACCAUCACAUAUUACCUUGGUAUGCUCACACCAAAUUUAACUGCAAAUUUAUAUCAAUAGUACUAGUAAAGAGUGGUCGGGGCGGCCGCCAUAGCGGAAGCAAGGUAUUCCCCGCUACUGCGACGAUGUUGCGCUUUCAGAUACCAUGUGCAAAACAUGGUCAUGGACGAAUUGCCCACCAUUUGGUACGUAAAAAGGUACUCCAAUCCGUCCUAAAAUAUAGCAAUCUUGUUCAGAUUCGUUGUACUGGGAUAUAACCAAUCAUAAUCACUCACCAUUCAACUUUCUUACCUAUCUGCACUUCUUAAUCAAGCAUAGCUUUUUUCAGUUUAGUUCUAGAACAUUUUGAACGGAGGUAAUACUACUCCACAUUUUAUUUUUGUUUGUGUCAACAUGAGUAGUCGUGUGGCGACUGGCGAGUCGGCAGGGAAGAACCAACCGGAGUAGUAGUAGUAGUGGUACCGCGGUUUGCCGCUUGGGUUGCGACAGGUGUCGACGCGGGCGCGUGGCCAAAAGCCGCGGCCCCGCGCCACCCGUCGCACCCCGGCCGCGACACUCCAUUCCGAUCUCUUUCUCCUCGCGCCCUCGAUCUGCGUCUUCUUCCAUUCCCCUCUCCCUCUGCCCCCCUCAUCGUUGAGCUUCUUCUUCUUCUUCUUCUUCUUGCAGCAUUUUUGUUGGAUUUUUUGUUGAGGGAGGGAGAGGGAAUGCGGCGGCGGGUUGGGCUGCAUGGUCGUCCAACGUGUCGACGGGUGGCGGCCGCGUGUCCGCGAGUGGGGUGAUGCGUCAACACGUCGUGGGGCGAGGACAGGUCAACCCAGCAAUGCCGCAUUGCCACCUAGACCGACGCCGUACGGCCGCUCGAUCCGCCUCCGCUCUUUGUUUAAUGCGGCUCUCCACGAAGACGAGGCGGCAGAGGGAGGGCGAUGCGCGCCGCCAUUGCCGCCGGAGAAAGGUCGCCGCCGCCUGCCGUUUUAUCUUCUCCGAGCGGCUCGCCGGCCAUCCCUGGGGGGAGCGGAUGGGAGGGGACGGCCGCAAUGCUGGCUCGGAUCUCCACGCGCCGCCUAUAAGGAUGAGAUGAGAUACAAUCUAGUACAACGAAUCUGAGGUUAUAACAUUGUGGAACGGAGGAAGCACUAGUGUGUCGCCGACAUUGCUCUUCAUCGAGUCCAUUUCCAAGGUCAGGAACAAGAACAACCAUCCAUACAAAACCACCCCUCUUCUACUCUGUGCUAAUCAUAUGCGACGCACAUUCGUGCAUCAAAUUCAUAUUUGUUUUUUCCACCCUGCACAUGCACAGGAAGAGGGAUAUGGAUGCAGCUCUUCUACUUUGUUAUUGUUGUUAUUGUUACCUCCCUUAUGGGCCAGGCCCUCGCAUAUACGCAGAUUCGUUCACCAGGCGGCCGGCCCCGGCCCAACAAUCACUUUUACCUGAUCCAACAAAUCAGGACAUGGGGAAACAUCAGCACAGGUAUCACUUGUACUCCAGUUUGUACUAGUACUGCUAUCUUUAUAUUACACAUAAUAAAAGAAGCUAUAUGGAUCUUACACAAUUACACCAACAUGAUAUAAUUACGAUUAUGAAUACUCCCGACGCAGGCACAACUUAUAAUUAUUUAAAAAUAAGAUUGUAUAAGCAUCCACUCACUCACACUUACAGAUACAGCAACGUAACCAUCUAUCAGUUAUUUUCAGUUCCUCGUCAGAUUGUUCACUGCCAGAUUCGAAUAAACAACACACAUAGACAUAAGGGUCCCUAGACAUAAUAAGGACAGAUUGUAUCACGCGUAAUAAUCAGAUCUGGCAAACAGCAAACCACAGUUCCUACAGAAUCAAACAGAUUCAUACCAAUAGGUUGAAACAAACUCCAUACACAAGUCAGUGCAAUUAUCAGGCUUUCAGUAUCAUGGUCAGAUGACACAUCAAGCAACACAACCAGUCAAACACAGGUAGCACACAUAUCAAACAUUGCUAAAACACCACAGCAUAGGUCUUCAUUACAAGAACCUGAAUACUUCCCCAUCCUUUUAUUCCAUCUCCCCCCCUUGAUCUAACAAGCAGAGCCAGAGGCCAUGGCAACUCUUUUCUCUACCUGGGAUCAAUCAGUGGGAGAAACUGGCAGCAAACAGAGCAUGCACCAUUUUCUCUUUUUUUUA
Non-coding RNA from Oryza sativa Japonica Group (Japanese rice), 2233 nucleotides. Lineage: Eukaryota; Viridiplantae; Streptophyta; Magnoliopsida; Poales; Poaceae. The record is from RefSeq and is a predicted model, not a curated record.